UCCCUGGUGGUCCAAUGGCUAAGAUUUUGGGUUCCCAAUGCUAGGGGCCUGGGUUUGAUCCCUGGCCAGGGAA
This 73-nucleotide transfer RNA is filed under the name Bos taurus (domestic cattle). It matches the Rfam family "tRNA". Rfam says of the family: Transfer RNA (tRNA) molecules are approximately 80 nucleotides in length. Lineage: Eukaryota; Metazoa; Chordata; Mammalia; Artiodactyla; Bovidae. The record is from Rfam by way of RNAcentral. RNAcentral also lists the same sequence under 5 other names.